GAUGAACGCUGGCGGCGUGCUUAACACAUGCAAGUCGAACGGUGAAGGCGGAGCUUGCUCUGCUGGAUCAGUGGCGAACGGGUGAGUAACACGUGAGCAAUCUGCCCCUGACUCUGGGAUAAGCGCUGGAAACGGCGUCUAAUACUGGAUACGAGCUGCGAAGGCAUCUUCAGCAGCUGGAAAGAACUUCGGUCAGGGAUGAGCUCGCGGCCUAUCAGCUUGUUGGUGAGGUAACGGCUCACCAAGGCGUCGACGGGUAGCCGGCCUGAGAGGGUGACCGGCCACAGUGGGACUGAGACACGGCCCAGACUCCUACGGGAGGCAGCAGUGGGGAAUAUUGCACAAUGGGCGAAGGCCUGAUGCAGCAACGCCGCGUGAGGGACGACGGCCUUCGGGUUGUAAACCUCUUUUAGCAGGGAAGAAGCGAAAGUGACGGUACCUGCAGAAAAAGCGCCGGCUAACUACGU
This 467-nucleotide ribosomal RNA is filed under the name uncultured bacterium. RNAcentral's name for it is "partial 16S ribosomal RNA". It matches the Rfam family "Bacterial small subunit ribosomal RNA", at positions 28 to 506 of the family's 1533-position model. The record is from RNAcentral.